RNAcentral lists this ribosomal RNA (458 nucleotides) under uncultured bacterium. Its description in RNAcentral is "partial 16S ribosomal RNA". It matches the Rfam family "Bacterial small subunit ribosomal RNA", at positions 338 to 795 of the family's 1533-position model. The record is from RNAcentral.
CCUACGGGUGGCAGCAGUGAGGAAUAUUGGUCAAUGGGCGAGAGCCUGAACCAGCCAAGUCGCGUGAGGGAGUACUGCCCUAUGGGUUGUAAACCUCUUUUGUCGGGGAGCAAAAGCCGGACGUGUCCGGCUGUGAGAGUACCCGAAGAAAAAGCAUCGGCUAACUCCGUGCCAGCAGCCGCGGUAAUACGGAGGAUGCGAGCGUUAUCCGGAUUUAUUGGGUUUAAAGGGUGCGCAGGCGGAUUUUUAAGUCAGCGGUAAAAUCGUGGGGCUCAACCCCAUCCAGCCGUUGAAACUGGGGAUCUAGAGUGUGCGAGAGGUAUGCGGAAUGCGUGGUGUAGCGGUGAAAUGCAUAGAUAUCACGCAGAACCCCGAUUGCGAAGGCAGCAUACCGGUGCACAACUGACGCUCAGGCACGAAAGCGUUGGUAUCGAACAGGAUUAGAUACCCCUGUAGUC